Long non-coding RNA from Hyaena hyaena (striped hyena), 290 nucleotides. RefSeq lists it as uncharacterized. Lineage: Eukaryota; Metazoa; Chordata; Mammalia; Carnivora; Hyaenidae. The transcript is spliced from 2 exons. The record is from RefSeq and is a predicted model, not a curated record.
CCACCCUGUGCUGGAGACUGCAGAGACAUCCUUGGCUUCACCCCAGGAAGGUCAGGAGAUGUGAAGCCCGUGAGCCCUUCCAGGCAGAUAACAGAGGAGAAAAACCAGAAAGUGCCGAUUUCCAGGAAGGUGGAAGGAACGUGCCUGGAGAAGAAGAGGAGAACUAACCACCUCCCUGUUUAAGUGUUUCCGUCUCAGAUGUGUUGACAAAACAUCCAUGCACUGAUGAAAGGUUACUUAGAGACCUCAGAUUCUACUGGAAGACAGAUUAGAACAUCAAUGUGUGACAA